UUUUUGCUUGCAAACUAAAGAUGGCGACCGGCGCACGGGUGAGUAACACGUAUCCAACCUGCCGAUAACUCGGGGAUAGCCUUUCGAAAGAAAGAUUAAUAUCCGAUAGUAUAUUAAAACCGCAUGGUUUUACUAUUAAAGAAUUUCGGUUAUCGAUGGGGAUGCGUUCCAUUAGUUUGUUGGCGGGGUAACGGCCCACCAAGACUACGAUGGAUAGGGGUUCUGAGAGGAAGGUCCCCCACAUUGGAACUGAGACACGGUCCAA
This 265-nucleotide ribosomal RNA is filed under the name uncultured bacterium. RNAcentral's name for it is "partial 16S ribosomal RNA". It matches the Rfam family "Bacterial small subunit ribosomal RNA", at positions 71 to 334 of the family's 1533-position model. The record is from RNAcentral.